RNAcentral lists this ribosomal RNA (420 nucleotides) under uncultured bacterium. Its description in RNAcentral is "bacterial SSU rRNA". It matches the Rfam family "Bacterial small subunit ribosomal RNA", at positions 355 to 772 of the family's 1533-position model. The record is from RNAcentral.
UGAGGAAUAUUGGACAAUGGGCGCAAGCCUGAUCCAGCCAUGCCGCGUGCAGGAAGAAGCAUCUAUGGUGUGUAAACUGCUUUUGUACGGGAAGAAACACUCCUUCGUGAAGGAGCUUGACGGUACCGUAAGAAUAAGGAUCGGCUAACUCCGUGCCAGCAGCCGCGGUAAUACGGAGGAUCCAAGCGUUAUCCGGAAUCAGUGGGUUUAAAGGGUCCGUAGGCGGUUUAGUAAGUCAGUGGUGAAAGCCCAUCGCUCAACGAUGGAACGGCCAUUGAUACUGCUAGACUUGAAUUAUUAGGGAGUAACUAGAAUAUGUAGUGUAGCGGUGAAAUGCUUAGAUAUUACAUGGAAUAACAGUUGCGGAGGCAGGUUAGUACUAAUGGAUUGACGCUGAUGGAAGAGAGCGUGGGGAGCAGA